This 501-nucleotide ribosomal RNA is filed under the name uncultured bacterium. RNAcentral describes it as "partial 16S ribosomal RNA". It matches the Rfam family "Bacterial small subunit ribosomal RNA", at positions 30 to 523 of the family's 1533-position model. The record is from RNAcentral.
AUUGAACGCUGGCGGCAGGCUUAACACAUGCAAGUCGAGCGGAGAUGAGGUGCUUGCACCUUAUCUUAGCGGCGGACGGGUGAGUAAUGCUUAGGAAUCUGCCAUUUAGUGGGGGACAACAUUCCGAAAGGAAUGCUAAUACCGCAUACGUCCUACGGGAGAAAGCAGGGGAUCUUCGGACCUUGCGCUAAAUGAUGAGCCUAAGUCGGAUUAGCUAGUUGGUGGGGUAAAGGCCUACCAAGGCGACGAUCUGUAGCGGGUCUGAGAGGAUGGUCCGCGCGAGUGGGACUGGGACACGGCCCAGACUCCUACGGGAGGCAGCAGGGGGGAAUAUUGGACAAUGGGCGGAAGCCUGAUCCAGCCAUGCCGCGUGUGUGAAGAAGGCCUUUUGGUUGUAAAGCACUUUAAGCGAGGAGGAGGCUACUAGUACUAAUACUACUGGAUAGUGGACGUUACUCGCAGAAUAAGCACCGGCUAACUCUGUGCCAGCCGCCGCCGUAA